RNAcentral lists this ribosomal RNA (861 nucleotides) under uncultured Neocallimastigales. RNAcentral's name for it is "partial large subunit ribosomal RNA". It matches the Rfam family "Eukaryotic large subunit ribosomal RNA", at positions 1 to 611 of the family's 3401-position model. The record is from RNAcentral. Lineage: Eukaryota; Fungi; Neocallimastigomycota; Neocallimastigomycetes; Neocallimastigales.
CGCAUCUGUGCAUGCAGCAUAUCAAUAAGCGGAGGAAAGAGGUCUACUACCUACGCUUAGGAUGUUGACACACGCGCGUGCUCGACUCUAUACAUGACUCUGUGCAUAUCAAUAAGCGGAGGAAAAGAAACUAACAAGGAUUCCCCUAGUAACGGCGAGUGAAGCGGGAAGAGCUCAAAUUUGAAAUCUUAAAGGGUUUCCCUUUACGAAUUGUAGUUUAAAGAAGUGUUUUCUGUUGAGGUUUUGGUAAAAGUUCUUUGGAAUAGGACAUCAUAGAGGGUGAGAAUCCCGUAUUUGACCUUUACUUUCAACUUUGUGAUACACUUUCAAAGAGUCGGAUUGUUUGGGAAUGCAGUCCAAAAUGGGUGGUAAAUUUCAUCUAAAGCUAAAUAUUGGCGAGAGACCGAUAGCGAACAAGUACCGUGAGGGAAAGAUGAAAAGAACUUUGAAAAGAGAGUUAAACAGUACGUGAAAUUGUCAAAAGGGAAGCGUUUGACACCAGUGUUGUUUUUCUGAAAAUCAAUUAAAGAACUGUUUAUGCUAAGUUGUUUAGACUUUAUCAGCUAACUGUUUAGUUUUGAGCUUUUCUUUAAUGCACUUUUCAGUUAACAAGUCAACAUCAAUUUCUUUUGCUGUAAAAAAGCUUGAGGAAGGUGGCUUGAGAUUCGUCUUAAGUGUUUAUAGCCUCUUGCCUAUGCAGUCGGAGAGAUUGAGGUCUGCAGCGUAGAUCCUUCGGGGCUAAAUGCAUUUGUGCUAAGUUAUAACAUUUUAUAGACAACUUGUUGACUAUGAUUUGUCUUGUAGCUUACUCGCUUAUGUUAUUUUACCUACGCUUAGGAUGUUGAACGCGCACAGAGUCUC